UGAGGAAUAUUGGUCAAUGGGCGAGAGCCUGAACCAGCCAAAUCGCGUGAAGGAAGACUGCCUUAUGGGUUGUAAACUUCUUUUAUACAGGAAUAAAAAACGGGGACGUGUCCCUUAUUGCAUGUACUGUAUGAAUAAGCAUCGGCUAACUCCGUGCCAGCAGCCGCGGUAAUACGGAGGAUGCGAGCGUUAUCCGGAUUUAUUGGGUUUAAAGGGUGCGCAGGCGGGCUUUUAAGUCAGCGGUGAAAUCUCGGGGCUUAACUCCGAAACUGCCGUUGAAACUGGGAGUCUUGAGUAUGGAUGAAGUAGGCGGAAUUCGUUGUGUAGCGGUGACAUGCUUAGAUAUAACGAGGAACUCCGAUUGCGUAGGCAGCUUACUAAGCCAUAACUGACGCUCAAGCACGAAAGCGUGGGGAUCAAACAGGAUUAGAUACCCCUGGUAGUCCACGCCGUAAACGAUGAUUACUAGUUGUAUGCGAUAUACCGUAUGUGACUAAGCGAAAGCGAUAAGUAAUCCACCUGGGGAGUACGCCGGCAACGGUGAAACUUAAAUG
This 554-nucleotide ribosomal RNA is filed under the name uncultured bacterium. Its description in RNAcentral is "partial 16S ribosomal RNA". It matches the Rfam family "Bacterial small subunit ribosomal RNA", at positions 355 to 907 of the family's 1533-position model. The record is from RNAcentral.